UGGGCGAAAGCCUGAUCCAGCAAUGCCGCGUGUGUGAAGAAGGCCUUCGGGUUGUAAAGCACUUUUGUCCGGAAAGAAAUGGCUCUGGUUAAUACCUGGGGUCGAUGACGGUACCGGAAGAAUAAGGACCGGCUAACUACGUGCCAGCAGCCGCGGUAAUACGUAGGGUGCAAGCGUUAAUCGGAAUUACUGGGCGUAAAGCGUGCGCAGGCGGUUGUGCAAGACCGAUGUGAAAUCCCCGAGCUUAACUUGGGAAUUGCAUUGGUGACUGCACGGCUAGAGUGUGUCAGAGGGGGGUAGAAUUCCACGUGUAGCAGUGAAAUGCGUAGAGAUGUGGAGGAAUACCGAUGGCGAAGGCAGCCCCCUGGGAUAACACUGACGCUCAUGCACGAAAGCGUGGGGAGCAAACAGGAUUAGAUACCCUGGUAGUCCACGCCCUAAACGAUGUCAACUAGUUGUUGGGGAUUCAUUUCCUUAGUAACGUAGCUAACGCGUGAAGUUGACCGCCUGGGGAGUACGGUCGCAAGAUUAAAACU
This 536-nucleotide ribosomal RNA is filed under the name uncultured bacterium. RNAcentral's name for it is "bacterial SSU rRNA". It matches the Rfam family "Bacterial small subunit ribosomal RNA", at positions 372 to 901 of the family's 1533-position model. The record is from RNAcentral.